CGAGAAUUCUUUCUGCUUUGAAUAAUGAGUCAUGGAAUAGAGUUAUGACUCUGUUGCUCUGCAUGUGAGCUGUGUUUGAAGCAUGUUGACGCUCUCCGCCUUGAUGCAGCUGGCACCCCAGAUCGAUUACUGGAUGCUCAACUUGAAAACAGUUGAAAGGAAAACCACAGGGCAGACGAUAUGGUUGGCUCUGGGGCCUGAUGGAUGUUGGCUGACCCAACAUUGCUUCAUCCCAGCAGAGUUCCUUUAUUUUGUAUCUCUGCAUUGAAAACCAUGGAGACUUUCAAAUACCCUGCAUACUAAUUCAAUUUUCC
Molecule: long non-coding RNA, 314 nt
Filed under: Gallus gallus (chicken)
Lineage: Eukaryota; Metazoa; Chordata; Aves; Galliformes; Phasianidae
Source: RNAcentral